Molecule: ribosomal RNA, 512 nt
Filed under: Ruminococcus sp. CO12
Lineage: Bacteria; Bacillati; Bacillota; Clostridia; Eubacteriales; Oscillospiraceae
Also listed under: 1 other name
Description: bacterial SSU rRNA
Rfam family: Bacterial small subunit ribosomal RNA
Source: RNAcentral
AGAGUUUGAUCCUGGCUCAGGAUGAACGCUGGCGGCGUGCUUAACACAUGCAAGUCGAACGGGAAUUACUUUAUUGAAACUUCGGUCGAUUUAAUUUAAUUCUAGUGGCGGACGGGUGAGUAACGCGUGGGUAACCUGCCUUAUACAGGGGGAUAACAGUCAGAAAUGACUGCUAAUACCGCAUAAGCGCACAGAGCUGCAUGGCUCGGUGUGAAAAACUCCGGUGGUAUAAGAUGGACCCGCGUUGGAUUAGCUAGUUGGUGAGGUAACGGCCCACCAAGGCGACGAUCCAUAGCCGGCCUGAGAGGGUGAACGGCCACAUUGGGACUGAGACACGGCCCAGACUCCUACGGGAGGCAGCAGUGGGGAAUAUUGCACAAUGGGGGAAACCCUGAUGCAGCGACGCCGCGUGAAGGAAGAAGUAUCUCGGUAUGUAAACUUCUAUCAGCAGGGAAGAAAAUGACGGUACCUGACUAAGAAGCCCCGGCUAACUACGUGCCAGCAGCCGCGGU